RNAcentral lists this ribosomal RNA (497 nucleotides) under uncultured bacterium. RNAcentral's name for it is "partial 16S ribosomal RNA". It matches the Rfam family "Bacterial small subunit ribosomal RNA", at positions 28 to 507 of the family's 1533-position model. The record is from RNAcentral.
GAUGAACGCUGGCGGCGUGCCUAAUACAUGCAAGUCGAGCGAUCACAGGAGGUGCUUGUCCCUCUGGCGUAAGCGGCGCACGGGUGAGUAACACGUGGGGAACCUACCUUUAAGACUGGGAUAACUUCGGGAAACCGGUGCUAAUACCGGAUAAUAUCUUUAACCGCAAGGUUCAAGAGUGAAAGACGGCUUUGCAUCCCAUGAUCGCUGGAUCCCGUUGGCAUUAGCUGGUUGGUAGGGUAACGGCUAACCAAGGCAACGAUUAGUAGCAGACCUGAGAGGGUGACCGGCCACACUGGAACUGAGACACGGCCCAGACUCCUACGGGAGGCAGCAGUGGGGAAUAUUGCGCAAUGGGCGAAAGCCUGACGAAGCAAGGCCGCGGGGUUGAGGAGGGUCUUCGGUUGGUAAACCCCGUUUAUAGGGGAGGAAGUAAGUUGUAGUUAACUGUUCACGUAUUGACGGUACCUAAUCAGAAAGCCACGGCUAACUACGUG